CUAGUGCUCAGAGAGAAAUUUAUAGCUGUUAAUGCAUACACUUGAAAAGAUAAAAGUCUUAAAUAAAUAACUUUAUACCUUACAGAACUAGAAAAAGAAGAGCAAAAUAAACCUAAAGUUAACAGAAUAAUAAUAACUAUUAAAGAAUAAAGAUUGGGGUUAAGGUAAACAAAAUAAAUAAUGGAGAAAUUAAUGAAAUCUAAAGUUGGUUAUUGAAAAAGAUCAGUAAUAUUAACAAAACUUUACCUAGACUGACAAAAACAAUGAGUCACUUAAAAUCAUAAAUGAAACUGGAGACGUAACUAACAGCCUUACACAGAAAAGGCAUUAAAAGAAAAUACUAUAAAUAAUUGUGUAUCAACAAAUUAGAAAACCAAGAAGAAAUAGACAAAUUCCUUGAAAAUCACAAAUCAUCUAAACUCACUCGAGAAGAUACAAAAUCUUAACAGUGGAGAAAUGCUAGCAAGAUGGCUGACUGGGAAGCUCCAGGAGCUCUUUCCCCCACAGAAAUCUGAUUUAACAGAAAUAUACUGACCAGACUACCUCCAUGAGAAUGCUAGAAACCAGUUAAGAAGCUGAAGCACCCAGGCCAAUGUACAACCUAGGACUUCCAGCAAAACAAGUAGCAAAAAAUUGUAGUAUUUCAUGCACCCACUUAUGCAUGCCAUAGCACUGUGCAAUUUAGAGGAAACCUGCCAUACUGUGCUCCUCCUUCAGGAUGGAAACAAAAGUUUUUGUUGUUGUUGUUGUUCUUGUUGUUUUUUGUUUGUUUUGUUUGUUUGUUUUUUCUCACCUGACUUGGAGUGCUAAUGGGUUCGGUAGGAAGCUGCUGAAAACAGAAGUGACUACCACAGUAUGUUAGAAAUGCAAUUCUGCAGGCAUAUGCCAGGGGGAACAAGAGGCCACAAAAGAUUUGAGAGUUUCUAAAAUCUAACUGGGCUGAUUGGUGAAGGUCUUUCCUUGCACAAAGCCAGUACACAAAGACUGCAAGAAGUGGUUUCUUUUUCAAAUGCACAAAUCCCAGCAAAAGUUUAUGAAGUAUACAAUGAAAUAGGAAAACACUGACCAAUCAAAAGAGCAAAAUAAAAUUUCAGAAACCAACCAUAAAGAAAUGCAGAUUUUUGAACUCCUUGAGAAAGAAUUUAAAAUAAUUAUUCAAAAGAUCUUCAAUGAGCUGAAAGAGAAUACAGAAAACUAAGUGAAGUCAGGAAAAUGAGUCAUGAACAAAAUGAGAAUAUCAACAAAUAUAUGGAAGCUAUUUUAAAAAAAAACGAAUUCUAGAGCUGAAAAAUACAACUGAACAUUACACUGGAGAAGUUCAAUAGGAGACUUGAGCAGUCAGAACAAAGUAUCAACAAAUUUGAAACAGAUCAUUU
Molecule: long non-coding RNA, 1376 nt
Filed under: Sus scrofa (pig)
Lineage: Eukaryota; Metazoa; Chordata; Mammalia; Artiodactyla; Suidae
Description: lncRNA (ENSSSCG00065067755.1, ENSSSCG00110027539.1)
Source: RNAcentral